UUGACAGCGAUUCCCGGAAAUGCGAUUCUCAAAGGUGUUCAGACUUAGAGGAAAGCUUCCGUUACGGUGACGUUCGGGGGCUUUUUUCUUUUGCG
Molecule: antisense RNA, 95 nt
Filed under: Martinezella rhizogenes
Lineage: Bacteria; Pseudomonadati; Pseudomonadota; Alphaproteobacteria; Hyphomicrobiales; Rhizobiaceae
Description: Agrobacterium rhizogenes ctRNA
Rfam family: ctRNA (bases 49-94)
Source: RNAcentral